UACGUAGGGUGCGAGCGUUAAUCGGAAUUACUGGGCGUAAAGCGUGCGCAGGCGGUUUUGUAAGCCAGAUGUGAAAUCCCCGGGCUUAACCUGGGAAUGGCAUUUGGGACUGCAAGGCUGGAGUGUGGCAGAGGAGACUGGAAUUCCUGGUGUAGCAGUGAAAUGCGUAGAUAUCAGGAGGAAUACCGAUGGCGAAGGCAGGUCUCUGGGCUGACACUGACGCUCAUGCACGAAAGCGGGGGGAGCAAACAGG
Molecule: ribosomal RNA, 253 nt
Filed under: uncultured bacterium
Lineage: Bacteria
Description: partial 16S ribosomal RNA
Rfam family: Bacterial small subunit ribosomal RNA
Source: RNAcentral